RNAcentral lists this ribosomal RNA (233 nucleotides) under Clostridioides difficile. RNAcentral describes it as "partial 23S ribosomal RNA". It matches the Rfam family "Bacterial large subunit ribosomal RNA", at positions 2378 to 2610 of the family's 2925-position model. Lineage: Bacteria; Bacillati; Bacillota; Clostridia; Peptostreptococcales; Peptostreptococcaceae. The record is from RNAcentral.
AGACAUACAGGUCGAGCAAGGAUGAAAAUCGGACUUAGUGAUCCGGUGGUUCUGCGUGGAAGGGCCAUCGCUCAACGGAUAAAAGCGACCCGGGGGAUAACAGGCGUGUCUCCCCGAAGAGUCCAGUGCGACGGGGAGGUUUGGCACCUCGAUGUCGGCUCAUCACAUCCUGGGGCUGUAGUAGGUCCCAAGGGUUGGGCUGUUCGCCCAUUAAAGUGGUACGCGAGCUGGGU